AAAAAAGGUAAGCUACUAAGAGCGAAUGGUGGAUGCCUUGACUGGUAAAGGCGAUGAAGGACGUACUAGACUGCGAUAAGCUACGGGGAGCUGUCAAGAAGCUUUGAUCCGUAGAUUUCCGAAUGGGGCAACCCAAUGUAUAGAGAUAUACAUUACCUAUAUAGGAGCGAACGAGGGGAAUUGAAACAUCUUAGUACCCUCAGGAAAAGAAAUCAAUAGAGAUUGCGUCAGUAGCGGCGAGCGAAAGCGCAAGAGGGCAAACCCAGUGCUUGCACUGGGGGUUGUAGGACUGCAAUGUGCAAGAGGUAAGUUUAGCAGAACAUUCUGGAAAGUAUAACCAUAGAGGGUGAUAGUCCCGUAUGCGAAAAACAAACCUUAGCUAGCAGUAUCCUGAGUAGGGCGGGACACGAGGAAUCCUGUCUGAAUCCGGGUCGACCACGAUCCAACCCUAAAUACUAAUACCAGAUCGAUAGUGCACAAGUACCGUGAGGGAAAGGUGAAAAGAACUGAGGUGAUCAGAGUGAAAUAGAACCUGAAACCAUUUGCUUACAAUCAUUCAGAGCACUAUGUAGCAAUACAGUGUGAUGGACUGCCUUUUGCAUAAUGAGCCUGCGAGUUGUGGUGUCUGGCAAGGUUAAGCAAACGCGAAGCCGUAGCGAAAGCGAGUCUGAAUAGGGCGCUUAGUCAGAUGCUGCAGACCCGAAACGAAGUGAUCUAUCCAUGAGCAAGUUGAAGCUAGUGUAAGAACUAGUGGAGGACUGAACCCAUAGGCGUUGAAAAGCCCCGGGAUGACUUGUGGAUAGGGGUGAAAGGCCAAUCAAACUUCGUGAUAGCUGGUUCUCUCCGAAAUAUAUUUAGGUAUAGCGUUGUGUCGUAAUAUAAGGGGGUAGAGCACUGAAUGGGCUAGGGCAUACACCAAUGUACCAAACCCUAUCAAACUCCGAAUACCUUAUAUGUAAUCACAGCAGUCAGGCGGCGAGUGAUAAAAUCCGUCGUCAAGAGGGAAACAACCCAGACUACCAGCUAAGGUCCCUAAAUCUUACUUAAGUGGAAAACGAUGUGAAGUUACUUAAACAACCAGGAGGUUGGCUUAGAAGCAGCCAUCCUUUAAAGAAAGCGUAAUAGCUCACUGGUCUAGUGAUUUUGCGCGGAAAAUA
RNAcentral lists this ribosomal RNA (1157 nucleotides) under Campylobacter jejuni. RNAcentral describes it as "partial 23S ribosomal RNA". It matches the Rfam family "Bacterial large subunit ribosomal RNA", at positions 1 to 1172 of the family's 2925-position model. Lineage: Bacteria; Pseudomonadati; Campylobacterota; Epsilonproteobacteria; Campylobacterales; Campylobacteraceae. The record is from RNAcentral.